AUGGGCGGGGCCCGUGAAAUUUCAGACAGGAUUUUCUCCCAUGCACGUCCAGAUGAUCUUAUACAAUUAGAGUUGAUAGGACCUCAGUUGCAGAAUAAUGUUUCAGUCAUUUUAAGGGACAAUCGUGAUUUGAGUGAAUUUGAAAAUUUAUUUCUCAGGGCGGUACAGUCAAACUGGUCAGUAAUGUGCGAGGGCUCGCUCGAGCUUGUAGCUCAGAUCGUUAGACCCCCAGCCGGUAGUGGAAAGAGGAUGCUUAAACACAUACUCGACAAUGAAAUUGUCAGAAAGAAAAGGCGCUUUUUAUAUAUUGUUCAUAACCCUGCAAAUAAGUUAUGUUUUGCUAUAAGUCUUGCCCACCUUCUGCACCCCUAUUUUAACGAUCAACAAGCAGAGGUUUUCGGUAGAGAAAUUCAACAAAAAGCUGGUCUAAAUGAUCAAACGCCUGUUGGUUUUAAUCAAAUAAUUACAUUUGAAAGGUUACUCGGAUGUAAAAUUAUAGUAUUUUACCGUAACGAACACGAUCGCAGCCUUUGUAAAUUUGAAACUAGUACACCAAAUACAGAAAGACCGCUUUGUUUAUUUUUAUUUGAUAAUCAUUACUAUGCUAUCAAAAAUCUAAAAGGAUUUAUAGGAACACACUAUCUCUGUAAUCAUUGUUACAUGGGGUACAACCACGUGUUAGCCCACUUUUGUCCUGCUCGCUGUUCAGUCUGUAUGCAGCCUGACUGUAACCAAUAUUCCCUCUCUCCUAUUGUGUGUCGCGAUUGUAACCGCACCUGUCGGUCUCCCUAUUGUUUCAAGAGCCAUAAAAAACUCGUUGACAGGCGUGAAAGAUCCGCCAGCAACUGUCAGCUCUAUAAAAAAUGUGUCAAGUGUUCCAGACUUUAUUAUUUAGCAGCAAACGAAAAACCUCACAAAUGUCAAAACAGGAAAUGCCCAAUCUGUCGCCAGGAAAUCUCCACUGAUCAGCAAACGCAUCAGUGCUACAUGCAGGUUUUAGAACGCGAGACAAAACACAACAACAAGUUGAUUUUUUACGAUUUUGAAACGUUUGUAAAUGAAACCGGUGAGCACACUCCUUUUCUGGUUUGUACGAAAGCUUUAGACGGUAAAUCCUGGAACUGUGUUGGUGAGGACUGUGCAGAAAAGUUUCUCGCUCAUUUUAGACGUCCACUCUUUAAGGGCUGUAUUUUUAUCGCCCAUAAUGCAAAAGGUUUUGACGGGUACCUUAUUUUAUCCCGAAUGGCUAAACAAGGCUUAAAACCACAUUUAAUUAUGCAAGGAUCCAAAGUGAUCAGUUUUACAGACCCAGACUUUAAUCAACGAUACAUGGAUUCCAGCUGCUUUCUCCCUAUGCCUCUGUCAGGUAUCCCAAAAGCAAUGGGAUUUUCAGACAGCGUAAAGGGUUUCUUUCCUCACUCUUUCAGUUCCAGAGAAACUCUAAAAUAUGUAGGCCCCUACCCUCCACCCUCAGCUUACAGCAUAGAGAGAAUGACAACAAAAGGCAGGGAUGAUUUUUACAAAUGGUAUGAUUCAGUCAGCUCCGGUACCUUCAAUUUCAUGAAAGAGGCCCUGUCAUACUGCGAAAACGAUGUUGAGAUUCUAGCUGAGGGCUGCAAAUUGUUUAGAAACGGGUUUAUUGAAGAAACAGGAGUAGAUCCUUUCAGCCGCAACACGCUUGCAAGUGCCUGCCUAAAAACUUUUUUAACAAACUUCAUGCCAGCCAAUUCUUUAGCAAUACCAUGUCCCCUAAAUUACCGUAAUCAGGUCAAAUCAUUUUCCUCUGCCUCAAUUCAAUGGCUAGAAUAUCUCUCGUACACGCAAGGUGUUUUUAUCAGACAUGCGCUAAAUCAAGGAGAAAAAAAGCUGGGUAGUUAUUAUGUAGAUGGAUAUGCCCUAAUUAAUAAUAAACCAUAUGUCUGGGAAUUUUUGGGGUGUUACUUUCAUGGGUGUGUUAAGUGUUUUUCAAAUCAGGCCGACAUUAAUCCCUUGUUAGACCUAACUUUUGCAGAGCUAAACAGCCGCACUGAAGAAAGACUUGCUAAAUUGAGAACUGAGUAUAAUGUGUGUCUUGUUACAAUCUGGGAGCACGAGUGGACCGAGUUAAAGCGUAUUGAUCAGAGUGUAAUUAGUUUUCUCAAACAUUACGAAGCGCCAGAACCUUUGAACCCCCGCCAUGCCCUCUUUGGAGGGCGUACAAGCCCUGCACAGCUGCGCUGCAGUGCAGGCCCUGGGGAGAGAAUCGGUUAUGUGGAUGUUACCUCGCUGUAUCCGUUUGUAAAUAGCACCUGUAGUUACCCCUUAGGACAUCCUCAAAUAAUCUUUCGAAAUUUUCAGCACCCUAAAAACUACUUUGGGUUUAUCAAAGCGGUUGUAUACCCACCCAGAGCACUCUAUUUUCCAGUUUUACCUUUUAAAACUAAGUCAGGAAAGCUUCUCUUUACCCUCUGCCGCACCUGUGCUGAAAUGAACAACCAACAGGGGGCGUGUAACCAUAGCAACGAGGAGAGAGCACUCAAAGGGGUUUGGACCACUCCAGAAUUUAACCUUGCCUUAGAAAAGGGGUAUCAAAUAAGUAGAAUCACGGAGGUGUGGCACUUUGAGAAACAGAGUAACACAAUAUUCACAGACUAUGUACAUCAUUUCCUGCGCAAAAAACAAGAAGCUUCAGGCUACCCAUCAGAUGUUGUAACUGAGGAGGAUAAACAGCUUUACAUUAAAGACUACCAGGCUAAGCAAGGCAUCACUUUAGACCCUGAAAACAUAAAACUAAACCCAGCUAAAAGACAAAUGGCCAAACUGUGUUUAAACUCUUUUUGGGGAAAAUUUGGCCAGAGAAAUAAUCUCACACAGAGCAAACUGGUGAGUGACCCCGAGGAAUUCUUUAAUCUGAUGUUUUCUCCAAAAUACAAAGUGACCUAUUUCUCUUUUGUCAGUGACGAUGUAGCGCUUAUUCAAUGGUGUUAUGGCGAUCUAUGUACCCCAUUGCCAAACUCCACAGAUAACAUCUUCAUUGCGGCCUUCACUACUUCAUAUGGGCGUAUGAAACUCUACAGUUAUUUGGAUCAGUUGCAGGAGAGAGCAAUUUACUACGAUACUGACAGUGUUGUUUAUCUCACCAAACAAAAUCAAUCUGAACUAGAAUUAGGUAGAUAUUUGGGUGACCUCACCAAUGAACUAGAGCAGGAUGAUUUCAUUACAGAGUUUGUUGCAGCUGGACCCAAAAGCUAUGGCUAUAUGACCAAAAAAGGUAAAGUUGUCUUGAAAGCAAAAGGGAUCACACAAACACAUGAUGUCUGCGAAAGGGUCAACUUUGAAUCUGUGAAAAACCUGGUUGACAAUUACAUUGAUAACAGUGAAGGAGGGUCUACACUUGAGGCACCACAGCACACUAUCCUUCGUAAUAAAGCUGGGUUUGCACUGAAAAUUCAUCAUUCCCCAAAAAAUUCCGGGUUGUUUAUGACAAGCGUAGAUUGCUGCCAGGAGGUCUGA
Oreochromis niloticus (Nile tilapia) is the source of this 3492-nucleotide long non-coding RNA. The record is from Ensembl. Lineage: Eukaryota; Metazoa; Chordata; Actinopteri; Cichliformes; Cichlidae.